This 496-nucleotide ribosomal RNA is filed under the name uncultured bacterium. Its description in RNAcentral is "partial 16S ribosomal RNA". It matches the Rfam family "Bacterial small subunit ribosomal RNA", at positions 28 to 506 of the family's 1533-position model. The record is from RNAcentral.
GAUGAACGCUGGCGGCGUGCCUAAUACAUGCAAGUCGAGCGAACAGACGAGGAGCUUGCUCCUCUGACGUUAGCGGCGGACGGGUGAGUAACACGUGGAUAACCUACCUAUAAGACUGGGAUAACUUCGGGAAACCGGAGCUAAUACCGGAUAAUAUAUUGAACCGCAUGGUUCAAUAGUGAAAGACGGUUUUGCUGUCACUUAUAGAUGGAUCCGCGCCGCAUUAGCUAGUUGGUAAGGUAACGGCUUACCAAGGCAACGAUGCGUAGCCGACCUGAGAGGGUGAUCGGCCACACUGGAACUGAGACACGGUCCAGACUCCUACGGGAGGCAGCAGUAGGGAAUCUUCCGCAAUGGGCGAAAGCCUGACGGAGCAACGCCGCGUGAGUGAUGAAGGUCUUCGGAUCGUAAAACUCUUUUAUUAGGGAAGAACAAAUGUGUAAGUAACUAUGCACGUCUGGACGGUACCUAAACAGAAAACCACGGCUAACUACGU